UGACGGGACCCGCACAAGCGGUGGAGCAUGUGGUUAUUCGAAGCAACGCGAAGAACCUUACCAAAUCUUGACAUCCCACUGACAAAGUAUGUAAUGUACUCUUCCUUCGGGACAGUGGUGACAGGUGGUGCAUGGUUGUCGUCAGCUCGUGUCGUGAGAUGUUGGGUUAAGUCCCGCAACGAGCGCAACCCUUAUCUUUAGUAGCCAGCAUUUCGGAUGGGCACUCUAGAGAGACUGCCCGGGUGAACCGGGAGGAAGGUGGGGAUGACGUCAAAUCAUCAUGCCCCUUAUGAUUUGGGCUACACACGUGCUACAAUGGCGUAAACAAAGGGAAGCAAUUGGGUGACCAUGAGCAAAUCUCAAAAAUAACGUCUCAGUUCGGAUUGUAGUCUGCAACUCGACUACAUGAAGCUGGAAUCGCUAGUAAUCGCGAAUCAGAAUGUCGCGGUGAAUACGUUCCCGGGUCUUGUACACACCGCCCGUCACACCAUGGGAGUUGGGAAUGCCCGAAGUCUGUGACCCAACCGUAAGGAGGGAGCAGCCGAAGGCAGGCUCGAUAAACUGGGGUG
This 569-nucleotide ribosomal RNA is filed under the name uncultured bacterium. RNAcentral describes it as "bacterial SSU rRNA". It matches the Rfam family "Bacterial small subunit ribosomal RNA", at positions 911 to 1482 of the family's 1533-position model. The record is from RNAcentral.